UCACAAGAGCCGACAGAAGCCCAGGACCAAAGCGCAGGCGACGUCGCGUAGCGACUCCCCGCCCCUCCCAGAGACGCAUCUGAUUGGACAAUAACUGAGGCCACGCCCCUUUGCCUAUGUGACGUGGAAGGCGAACCUCCCGUGACCCAGCCAGCUUGCCGGCCUUCCUCGGAGGCCAGUCCCUCCCCACCCCCGAGGGGCGAGGAAGGAACCCUGAGCUUCAACGCGUUAAGCAGGCGCUCCACCACUGAGCCACACCCCAGCCCUAACAUAUUGGCAUUUUAAGAAUUUGUUCCUAUCCCAGAAAGAAGACUGGCACCGCGUGGGCAAGUAGUUCCAGGCUGUUUUCACUUGGAGCGACCCACUUGUGCAAAGCAAGAGGAGAGCAAGACCAAAACUGAAAGGAGAGCCAGCCAGCUUUUCUCCACCGGGUCAGGGGCUUGGCAUUAAGGCACGAAGGCCAUUCAUGGAACUGUGAUGCUCUUUUAGGAUCACUUAGAAUCACAGACACUUAAAAGUGACGUCAGCGUAUAUAAUAGAGUCAGCCUCCAGUUUGAUCUUGACGGUUGCCGGCGUUGAGGCCUAAACCAUCCCUUCCUCACCCUGCACAUCUGGCACUUUGAUUCUGGCAGGAAGUGUAAACUUUGCUGGCCAAGUCUGAGAUCAGAAACUCUUCUCAACCAACUGCCACCUAUAAGUUGAACUGGAACUGAGGUAUUACAUUCAGCUGCAUCAGAGGAAACACCCAUGAUUUUCCACACAGGAAGAAGGUGCUUAUUCUCCCAUGAAAGGACUGGGAGAGCAGUUACUGCACAAUCAGUGCAGCAGAGGAACAAACUCUGUUAUAGUCAGCUUUGCACUGCUGUGACCAACAUACCCAACAAGAAUAACUCAGGAAGCUGUGUGGAAUGUAUAAAUACUGCUCCUGUCCUGCAAUAAAGGGCUCCUACUCCUGCUGUAUCAAUCUACACAAGUUGUUCGUCACCCCCCUGAUUAUUCUGCUGCAGCCGGACUGCGGCAGAUGGUGGCCCGUUACGGGGAGCCCUGGGACACUCGGGGGUAAGUGACGAAAAAAAGCUGCCCGUCCAUAGAUAGGACGGGAGCAAUCUGCUCGUCCCUAGGCAGAUAGGGCGAGAGGAAAAAUGACCAUUUUGAGAAAAUGGAGAAGAUUGAUACAGUAUGUUUGUGUCUUGUUUUGUCUUGAAAUGUUGUAUUGUCUUUGUGAUGAAAAUAUGGAAGGGGUGAGAACUAAAUUACUAAGGGAAGAAGGCACCCCAGUGGAACCAAGAAUAGUUAGGGCAUGUGUCGAUAAGAGCCCAGGAACUCGAGUCAGAAAGAAAAAGAAAGUUCAGAAGAAGAAGGAUUAUCAGAAAAAAAGUUGCAGCAAAAGAUUAUUACUAAAUACUUUUCGUUACCAGAGGGUGCGUGAAGCGGAGAGGCGGCUGCCAAAUGUGCAAGCUGGUCACAGCGCAACAAGGAUUUUCCAAGAGGUGGCGGCGACUGGCCCUUCCCCGCCUCCUGGCCGGGGAGCUGGCUCUUCCACUGCCCGAGCCCAAAUCUAGACCUGACCUGGAGGCACAGUCUCGCAGGCUCUUGCUCCCUGUGCCCAGUAGCAGUUUGAGACCGGGACUCUCCCCAGGGCCAUCUGGGGCUACCCGGGACGCUACAGCCGCAGAAGACACUACUGGUGUCCCUGAUGUUUGGUCAUUUUCAAUGCCAAUAACUAAGCUACAAUGGUUCUCCCACACCUGGAAGCUAAUGAGUAAUGAGCACCAUUAAGGCUUAUUUAAAUGUAAAAAACCUUGAGAUAAUGUACUAAAUUGUUCAGAAGGUUGUUUUCUUAGUGCCUGCUGGAAUACUACAGGAUUUUCUUUAGCCAUCCGGAGUUCCUGCCUUCAUCCCAGUGCCAGUAAAGACCAAGGUGGAAGAAUUUCCAGUGUUGCUGAAAACUGGAGGAGACUUCGGAGCUAUUGCUGUUUCUGCUGCUACAACUUAAGCUAGCUGCCUGCAGAACUUACCUGGACUGUGAUUUAAGCUAGAUGCCUGCAGAAUUUACCUGGACUGUGAUUUAAGCUAGCUGCCUGCAGAACUUACCUGGACUGUGAUUUAAGCUAACUGCCUGCAGAAUUUACCUGGACUGUGAGUUAAUCUAUUGAGACACUGCUUUACCUGGACUGAGACAACAAACUAUAAUCUACAACAAAUUGUAACUCGGUAUCUUUGCUAACAGUGUCAUUGCUGGUAUAAUUUUUCCAAGGGCUUCUUGCAUGGAGCCAUCAAUUGGCUUGGUAUUGUGACAUUUUGUAUCCUCCCCUUCUGCUUGUAGCAGAUUACUUAUAGUGUUUCUGUAAAAACCACUAUGGUCCUUAUUUAAAUUAAACAAAAGGGGGAAAUGUUGGAAUCUGUAAACAAGUCAAAAUAACACCUGGCAUUUUGCCAAGGGAAUGUUAGAGUUCCUAAACAAGUCUGGAUGGUGCCUGGCAAAAUGCCAGAGGGAGUGGUUUGAGAAGUAACAAAACUGAGCCAUUAAGUAUGGAGAUUCCUGAUUGGUUGACUGAUGUAUCUAGUUUAUGCUAAUUAGAUAAGCUGUGUGGAAUGUAUAAAUACUGCUCCUGUCCUGCAAUAAAGGGCUCCUACUCCUGCUGAAAAAAAAAAAAAAAAAAGAAUAACUCAGGAGGAAAAUUUUAUUCUGGCUCACCAUUUCAGAGUUUCAGUCCAUGGCUGGACAAUUUCAUAGCUCUGGGCCUGAGGUGAGGCAGAACAUCAAGGCAGAAGGGUGUGGUGGAGGGAAGCAGAAAGAACUUGAAUGCAAGGAGCCAGGAAUAUUAUUACUCCCCAGGGCAGGCCCCCAGUGACCUGCUUCCUGCAGUCAUGCCCUUCCUGCCUACAGUUACCAAUGCAUUCAAAUUACUAACCCAACUGGUUAAUCCACAAUUAGGCCACAGCUCUUAAAAAUCUAAUCAUUUCACCUCUGAACAUUCCUACAUUGUCACACAUGAGCUUUCAGGGACUACCUCACAUCCAAACCAUAACAAACUCUCAUCUAGUGAGUUUUGCUAGCAUCCUUGUAGCUGUCAUGCUCAAUCAAGAACAUAGUCACUAUCCCCAUGAACAAAGAUACCUGACAUACAAAUUAGAUCUUCUUAGAGUCUAGACUUAGGACUUGAAAGAAAAUCCAAACUGCAAGGUGGAUUUUUUUUAACACAUAGUUCAGGGUCCUGUUUUUAGGAAUGAGCCACUGGUAGACACAAUACAUUUAUGAUUUUAUAACAUUUCCUUUGGGUUGUAUAUUUUCUGGAGGAUUAAACACCAAUUACAAAUUACACUGGGCAUUUUCAGAUUACUUUUUUGGGGGGAUGGGUACUAGAAACUAAAUUCAGGGGCACUCAACCACUAAGCCACAUCCCUAGUGCCCCACCCCACUUUUUGCUGGUUGGUUGGUUGGUUUCUAUUUUAUUUAUAGACAGUGUCUCACUGAGUUGCUUAGCACCUCACUAAAUUGCGAUCCUCCUGUCUCAGUCUCCUGAGCUGCUGGGAUUACAGGCGUGCACCCUGCGCCCAGCUUAGUUUUAAAAUGUAUUUGUUAAAAUUGAAAACUUUCUUGUAUUUUUCACAUUUAUGGAGUUUUGAUCCAAUGUGCAUUUGUUUUGUUUUCUUUUGAGAAGGGGUCUCACCCUGUUGCCCUGACUGGUCUUGAGCUCUUGGGCUCAAGCAGCGCUCCCUGCCCAGCCCCAGUGGCUGGGACUGAAGGCAGGUACCACGAUGCCUGGUUGUGUGUGUUCUUACAUGUAGGCCAAUCGAAGACUUUUGCACAUCACUUCUACUCAAGAGGCUUCUCUCCACUCUGCUUCUUUAUGACUCUGAAUUGAACUGGGAUGAUGAAAGACUUUCCCACACACUUUGUUUAUAGGCCUUUGUCAAACAAUGCACUCUCCCCACAUGUGGCUCGAAAGCUUUGUUGAUAAUAAAAGCUGUCCCACAUUA
This is a long non-coding RNA of Marmota monax (woodchuck), 3984 nucleotides long. RefSeq lists it as uncharacterized. The record is from RefSeq and is a predicted model, not a curated record. NCBI's taxonomy places the organism in Eukaryota, Metazoa, Chordata, Mammalia, Rodentia, Sciuridae. The transcript has 2 exons.